Molecule: ribosomal RNA, 433 nt
Filed under: uncultured bacterium
Lineage: Bacteria
Description: partial 16S ribosomal RNA
Rfam family: Bacterial small subunit ribosomal RNA
Source: RNAcentral
AACGAACGCUGGCGGCAUGCCUAACACAUGCAAGUCGAACGAGACCUUCGGGUCUAGUGGCGCACGGGUGCGUAACGCGUGGGAACCUGCCCUUAGGUUCGGAAUAACUUCCCGAAAGGGGUGCUCAUACCGGAUAAUGUCUUCGGACCAAAGAUUUAUCGCCUUUGGAUGGGCCCGCGUUGGAUUAGGUAGUUGGUAGGGUAAAAGCCUACCAAGGCGACGAUCCAUAGCUGGUCUGAGAGGAUGAUCAGCCACACUGGGACUGAGACACGGCCCAGACUCCUACGGGAGGCAGCAGUGGGGAAUAUUGGACAAUGGGCGAAAGCCUGAUCCAGCAAUGCCGCGUGAGUGAUGAAGGCCUUAGGGUUGUAAAGCUCUUUUACCCGGGAUGAUAAUGACAGUACCGGGAGAAUAAGCUCCGGCUAACUCCGUG